GUUGUUUUAAUUUGCAAAAAUUCUUAAGCAUACUUACUUUGCAUUUAUUGCCUGAUCAAAACGGGAUCUUAGGAGGGUAAUGUCAUACUCUUAGAUCAAAGACUUUGGAAAUUAAAAUCUUUGUCAACUCUUGCUGGCAUAUUGCUUAUUAGAGGGACCAUGGGCUAUCAUUUUCUCUUUUUUCCCUUUUUUUUAAGUGGAUACCGAGGUAUCCCUAAUUCUACUGCCGGACACUUAUCCAUUUUUCUGCGAGGUUGUCGAGCACUUGCUCCUUUUUAUUUCCUCGAAAUAUCUCUAUUUCUUGCAUAGCCCAUGCCUCUAAUGCAAUAAUACUUCGGAAGAGUGAAUCUUUCUGAAUAAAUGUCUUGAUCUUAGGAGCAUGAUAAAUCUCUCAACAAGGGUCUAACUCAUUUUGAACAAACUCAAUACAGAGUAGAUAGCUUUUAUAAUCAUAAUUAAUAUUUUCAGUUUUAUCAGGCAUAUAAAACACUGAGGAUGGUAGCUAGAAUUUUAAAGAUUUUGAAAUAAAUUCUCCAAGCAACAAUGAUAUCAAGAAUAAGAAACUCAUACUCUACCAUCUCACAUUCCAUAUUGACUUAAGUAACACAGGGA
This 612-nucleotide long non-coding RNA is filed under the name Sorghum bicolor (sorghum). RNAcentral's name for it is "long non-coding RNA (SBIC_LNC010303)". Lineage: Eukaryota; Viridiplantae; Streptophyta; Magnoliopsida; Poales; Poaceae. The record is from RNAcentral.